AUUCUUUUUCCCAGUUCCGCGGGUUGGCCGGGCAGUCCUUCCACUGGUCUUGUCUGGGUUCGCUCAGGUGACUGCGUUCACUGGAUGCUGGGCUCAGCUGGGGUGGCGGCAAUGGCUGGGCGCCAAGCCUCUCUCUCACGUGGCCCUGCAUCCCUGGCUCCUUCCCGGCACGGUGGCUCAGGGUUCUGAGAGGAUGAAGGCCUGGGCUCUGCCACUUGUAUCAUGCCACCUUCCAUCACAGUCCGUAGGUCAGCGCAGUCACGGGGCCAGCCCAGCUUUGAGGGGUGAGGAACAGACUGGCUCCGGAUGGAAGGAGCAGCAAAACGUCGCGGGCGUGUUUUCCAUCUCCCACGCAGGGGGAGGCCAAUUCUCUUCGGGCCCUGCUCCCAUGGUCUCCAGUCCCCAUAACUGGAGUUGGAUGUUUGCCUGCCUCAGGGGAAAGUGCCAGAGUCCAAUCUGGGAGGAAGAAACAUACACAUGAAAAGAAUCGCAAGAUUUUGCUAAUUUAUAUCAGGAAAAGAUCUGGAUAACAUACAUGGGAACGUUUUCUGUGGGGGCUAGUCCACGGAGGGAAGAAUGUAAUUUUCACUGGGCUGGAUUUAUCAAUAUGGGCAUAGUCCCCUGAGAUUCCAGCUUGAAGGUGCCAGUUUGAGCAGCUAGGAGUGGUUUGCAUGGUUUGCUUAGCUGGUUGACUUGAAACCUUGAUUCAGCUGAGGCCUAUGCUAAACUGAUGUUGCAAUGCCAGAAAUUCCCUGCUGUAAUAUGGAGGAAGGAACCCAAAGACUGAGAGAGCAGGAAGGCUGAGGCAGCUUUACCCUGUGACCCCUCAUAUACCCCCGAGCCAAGUUCCAUGCUCCUAACUUCCUCUCAGAACCUGGAGGAAACUCCCUUCACCAAGGCAUCGAGAAACACAGCCGUGAGGGGAACGUGAUAUGGGACCUGUUCUCUGCAGGCUGGGGAUACUGCUGGAAGGUGCUGCCACGGAAAUGGGCCCCAUGACUUUAGUGGAACUGAGGGGAUCCCUGGGGAACAGAGCACACAUAGCAGUGCUUGGCCACCCGGGACUCCAGCUGUCAAGUGGCAACCAGAAUGGUCUAAGCCACAGAUGUCUUUAGCAAAGGCUAAUUGUUCAAGGGCCAGUGGGACCAAUGGGACCAAACAGAUACGCCUCCUCUGAGUUCUCCUUGAUCUGUGCUACAGAAACAACAAAACAAGAAACAAACAAAAGCCUCCAGCUCGGGCAGUUGAAGCCCGACUUGAGCCACUGUGAAAGCACCCCCCGGAAUGGAAGAGAGGCCAGUGCCCUUCAGAGCGGACCCUUCCAUAGCACCCCAGAUACGUACUGUACUCUUCCUCUUAGCCUGCCUUCCACAAAGGGUCCUGGCCAUUUGCUGGAGAACUGUGCUCCGUGAAAGGAAAAUGCACAGACUUUCCAGGGAUUAGCAGACCUUGAGUCUAUCAAAUACUAAUUCCUGGGGACACAGAAAGCCACUGUGUAGAGGCUUAGGUGGGGCAGGUAACAACCAGAGUUUUGACCUAAGUCCGGGCACCGUGCACCCAGUGGCCUCUGGACUCAUCUUGCAAUUAUUUUUUUACUUUCAGGGUGUAUAACUGAAAUUUACAGGAGAAUUCACACAUGAGCCUCCAGACCUGUGGAAUAGGGCCAUUGUGGUAAAAAAACAAAAGGCCAAGAGGAAGCCCCUGGAACUUCCCCUUUCUUACCGAUCAAGAAACCCAAGUAAAGGAGUAACUCUGGGAGUAUCACAGAAAUCAUGCAGUCAUCAAAGACGUGAAAGCCGCAGGGCUGGUCCCCACCACAUCCCACCAGACUCGCCUGUUUGGUCUAUGCAGAAGGCACUGGCCUUCAUGAACGACGGGGACUCAUCAUGAGCUCACUCAGGUGAUGGGUCUAGCAGCAGUCGCUCUUCCAGAGAACAGCAGAAGCAGGCUUCUUCCUCCUGGCAGGAACAGCAGUACAGUGUUCUCAUCUUGUCUGGAAACUCAUCAAGUCUCUGGUUCUCUGUUACAAUUUAAUCUACAGGGAUUUCCAUCAUCCUCCAUAUCACAGGACACCAUGCUUGUCACUGCGUCAAUUGCGUCACGUUCCUAGGAUCCGGAGAGGGGAAAGUAGAGGGUAUUUUUGAUGCAUAAGAUACGGAUGGACUAGGGGCUGGCCCCGUGGCUGAGUGGUUAAGUUUGCGCGCUCUGCUGCAGGCGGCCCAGUAUUUUGUCGGUUCGAAUCCUGGGCGCCGACAUGGCACUGCUCAUCAAACCACGCUGAGGCAGCGUCCCACAUGCCACAACUAGAAGGACCCACAACGAAGAAUAUACAAUUAUGUACCAGGGGGCUUUGGGGAGAAAAAGGAAACAUAUAAAAUCUUGAAAAAAAAAAAAUAUGGAUGGACUGAGAAUGGGAGGGAAAUCCCAUAAGACCAUAGGGGCCUGCCACCUGCGUGAAGCUUCUGGGGGUUCAGUGGUCUGAAUCAAGCUGGGAAAGAUGUGUAUUAGUCAGGGUUCUCCAGAGAAACAGAAACAACAGAAGAUAUAGACAUAAUGUGUGUAGAUAGAUAGAUACAGAUAUAAAGAGAUUUACUAGAAGAAAUUGGCUCACAUGAUUAUGGAGGCUGAGAAGUCCCAAGAUCUGCAGUCGCCAAGCUGGAGACCCAGGAGAGCUGAUAGUAUGUUCUAGUCCAGGUUCAGAGGGCUGAGAAGCAGGAGAGCUGAUGGUGUAAAUUCCAGUCUGAAGGCAGAAGAAGACUCAUGUCCCAGCUUGACGACAGGCAGGCAGAGAGCAAAUUCUCCCUUACUCAACCUUCUGUUCUGUCUAGGCCUUCAACAGAUUAGAUGUGGCCCACCCUCACUGGGGAGGACAAUCUGCUUUACUCGGUCUACAGACUCAAAUGUUAAUCCCAUCCCUUACAGGUAUGUCCGAAAUAAUGUUUGACGAAAUAUCUCAGCACCCCUGAGGCCCAGUCAAGCUGAAACAUAAAAUUAACCACCGCAUCCUGCAACGUGAAAGAACUUGCUGUGCUUUCCAUCCUCUCAGUUGUAGAAAGAAAGAAACACACUUGUUGGGCUUCUGUGUAUUUUGGAGGCAAUAUAUGUCACAUUUUGGUGUGCUGCUCUCAUUCACUCACUGAGUAUCCUAGAGGCUGUCAGCUUUGUGUGGGGUCCAGAGCAAGAGACAGCUUCCAGGUGGUCCAGGCUGGAGGGGAGGCAGCCUGUCCACACAGCCUGAUGACCCAGCAGAGCCAAAGGGGACUCAGGUGUCUGCAGCAAUUGAGGAUGAUGUUGGGGCCUGCGGCAAACGCUGAUGGAAGAACCACACAGAGUACCUGGGAUUUUGGAGCACAGCCUGGCUCUCCUGGGCAAGCCGUUUUCCUACUUUUCAGGAAGAGCUCGGCCUGCUGCUGGGCCCAGCUGAGAAGGGUCCCCAGGUGGGAGGCACCAGCGACUACAAAAGUAAUUCAUGACAGUCACACACAAUGUUCUCUUUCUCAGGAAUACUCGGGGUGUACGUGCCCAGCGAUUGCUACACUGAGAUGUCAGUGAAUCAUGCAUCAGCUGUGGAAGCACACUCGAUCUCUCCCUUUUUCAGCCUCUGUUUACUGGACUCGGGCUUCUAUUUCCUCUCCUCCAGACACUCUGCAAUUGCCAGGUUCACCAGUGAUCUCUUUAUUGCUAGUGCAAUGGAUACUUUAAAAAAAUUAUUUUGGAAAUAUGGAAAAUUUCAAACAUACAUGAAAGUUGAGAGAAGAGUAUAAUGAACUUCCACGUACCCAUCGCAAAACUUCAAUACGUAUCGACAUUUUACCCAUUUUGUUUAAUAGAUGCAUUUUAAUCCAUAUCGUAGGAAAGUGUUCAUGCUUUCUGAUCCUGUUGACCCCUUCCUCCUUGAUGCUUUCCCCAAGGUGACAUUCUUUUCUCGCUCUCUUCUGACCUCUCUGCUGCUCCACGGCAGGCUCCACUGGGGUCCUCCUUCCUCUCCUGUCCCUAAAUGUUAGUGUUUCCCAGGGGUCUGUCUUGGACCCUCCUCCAAGACACCCUCUCUCAUGGCCUCACUUACCUUCCAAGGGCUGGCGAGGCGCACAUUUCAGUGAGGUCCCCAUCUCUGCCUUCAGCCCAGACCCCUGUCCCAGGCUGAGACCGCUCCAUCCAGAAGUCUCCUACACACCUCUCCCCGGCUGUCCCAGGGGCAUCUCCUGCUCAACAUGCACCAAACUGAGUUCAUCCUGCUCACACCCGCUGCUCUCUGUAUUCCCAUUCAUCCACUCAACACAUAGUUAUUACAUCCCUCUUGGGUGUGUAAGAAAAAAUGGAAGAAUUUGGAAUAAGCAAAAAAAUCA
Long non-coding RNA from Equus caballus (horse), 4346 nucleotides. Lineage: Eukaryota; Metazoa; Chordata; Mammalia; Perissodactyla; Equidae. The record is from Ensembl.